Molecule: long non-coding RNA, 4596 nt
Organism: Tyto alba (common barn owl)
Lineage: Eukaryota; Metazoa; Chordata; Aves; Strigiformes; Tytonidae
Exons: 2
Source: RefSeq, a predicted model, not a curated record
UUAUAUUUAAUCUGACUUAUUGUUUAGGUAAUUAUGACUUUAUUUUAUUUUAUUUUUUUACAGUAAGAUAUUUGAAUUUUGAUUGCUAUUUCAGGGACAGAAAUAACAGAUUGGCAGAAGAACUGGGGCAGGAGCAAGUGAAAAGGAAAUAUUAUCCUGAGCCUAUAUAUGAACUAGAUUGCUUUAGGUAUUAAAGCAGCAUUUGAAAGCACCAUACAUCAACAUGAUAAUGUUGUGGUUGUGAGAGUAUGAAUUAUUGCCUGGCUACUGGCAGAUGAGACAGUGUUUUUGCUAAUGAUGCUGCAUGGAAAUAUUGGUCCCCUUUGUGUGCAGACUGGGUCUUGCUUAGGCGAUGAGGUCUCUCGCACCUCGAGCAGUUGUGCUUUUCGAUUCCUAUUGCUCCGUACCGCAGGAGGAACAGCACAAAUGCCGCUGUGCCCAGGCUCAGAAAUGACGGCGUGUUAACGCCGUCUCUGUUUUUCCCCUUCUUUUGCCUCAGGAGAAGCUGUGCUCGGCUCGGACCUGUGGCUCAUGCCGCACGGUUCCCCCCGAACUGGCCGGGCGCUCCCGCCCAGGGGCUGCGUGUCGGCCGGGUGUCUCGCGCGCUGCUCGGAGGGGAUGCCGGCGGCUGCCGAGCCGCGGGAGAGCAGAGGAGAUGCGGCACCGGCAGAUGGGCCAACCCGAGGCAGGGAACCAGGCCAGAAGGAAUGGUCGGAGGAGAGAAAUGACAGAGGGGGAAGAUAAGGGGAGGCAGUAAGCUUGGGGAGACUGGAGGGUGGUGGGUGAAGAGAUGCAGGAGAACUGGGAGGCAGAAGAAGAUUCCUCAGGUCUUCAAAAUCUGUAGAGAUGGGUAUUUUGCACCCCAGGCUUCAAGGAUUUGCACUGUGCUGCUGUGACCCGUGUGUUUUCCCAAGGCUUAAGGCACUGGCUGUUUGGGUAGCUUUUAAUAUUCUUUGCUAUUUAAUGUAGGUUUGCUUCUGCAAAACCAAGUCAGCAAUUUAGGCAAUUUUAAAGGAGAUUAUGUCUUCCAGAGUCUUUAAUUCCCUGCAGUUCAUUCACCUUAAGAUUUGAUGUGCACAAUUAACUUCAGAUUUACACUAUUUGAAAGUAAGAACUGUUUUUUGUCUCAUUCUACAGCUUUAUAUUAUUUUCCACCAGUAGCUUAAACUUUUGACAUUUGAAUAAUUUCUCUGGCUGAGAUCUGCAAAUUCAUUUGUAUGCUUGAAAUGUUCAUGUGUUUGAAGAAAUAUUUUGGUAGUGAUACUGCCUGGUCAAAUUUAGACCUCUCCAUCAAGUUCUCUGUACACAUUUAAGAGUUUAAAAAUAGAGUUGUCCCAAGGCAUGCCAAAAACCUGGAGGCAGUCAAACUAAUAGAAAUAUGUAAACUUUCAUAAUAUGUUUACUGCAGGGAGAAAAAUAUGCCGAAGCUUUUGCUUUCAAAAAGCCUUUGUCCAAGGCUUCUUAAAAAAAAAAAAAAAAAAAAAAAAAAAAAAAGGGAAAAAGAAAGAUUGUCUACAGUUAUAUUGUAACUCCAUUUAUAGACAUUGAAACACGUUAGUAUCCACUGGAUUCUACUACAGUGCUUCCUUGGAAGAGUGCUGGCCAAGCAAAGUUGAUAUGACCUGUGAGAUACCCCAGAUUUUUAAAAGCUGACUAUGCUUGCUCAGAUACAUAAAUGGAGAGUUUGGAGCCAGGGUGUUAACAUUAUUAAAAAAAAAAAAAAAAAAAAAAAAAAGUUGUAAAACCAUAUACUUCGAAGGGUUGAUCCGAUGAAAUUUCUACAAUUUGAGUCUAUGUUGGUGAAAUCAGGGCAUUGUAUAAGGAAACGUAGAACGUGUGAUGAUUUCAGCACAGUGCUGGGGCCAGUCUUUGCACCGGAGAGGCUGUAUGCACCUGUGUCACCCAGGGAGCUGGGGAGAGACUAGACUUUGGAACACUGUGUUUUAAUCUCUUGUGGUGCUCCCUGCUAGGACACUUCCAUCCUUGGCCCAUUGUGUAAAGCAACAAUUCUGCAGCUGAUUAUUUCUCCUUUUCUGUUGCAUCAUGGAGGCACACUGCUGAAGCAGUGAUUAAGCAACCCAGAGCAAUGGAGCCGGGGGACCCUGUGGUUGCUGGCAGCCCUGCUACUGCCUUUUAGCAUCUGAGUGUGGACUCCAGUGUGGGAAGGGAUGUGGUUCCUAGGAUCCUUCAUCUGCCCUUUUUCUUAUUUUCUAAGCUGACUAGGUGGGAACUCCAAGCUAUGCUUUUGUCAGGUGGGCUCCAUCCCUGCCCAGCUACCUCCUGGCACCAGCACCAUUGCAAACUGCUCCUUGGUGGUGGUACCUUCCCACUCCCCUAUUUCCUAUGCAUUUCUCCCAGAAGGUUGGAUAAAUGCACCCAUUUAGACAUAGCUGCAGGAGCUGUUAACUUCUAACAGUCCUAAUGUAAAUCUGUUCUCGGUAAUUGUUGGCAUUUUCAUGUUCAAAAUAAGACUUUUAUAACUGGAUCUAUUUUGGCAAAAAUAGAAUGACUACUUGACUAAAGUAACCAGCAUAUUUUUUGGCCUAAAUUGCCCAACUUCACGAGCUUUUCUCAGAUCGAGAUUGUUUGAAUGCUAUUCAUACAGGUGGAUAAGGGCUAAAUAGUGUGAGUAGAUGCAGCAAAGUUGUAUUAUUAGUUGUUUGUGAAGUGCUAUACGAAUGCUGAAUGACAAUUUGAAUCUACUUUCAUAGUUUCAGUCAUCUUUUUGUUUGUUUUGGCUUUCUUCUUAUUCUUCAGAGGAAGAGAGCAAGAAUUUGGAACAUUUUUAGGAAAUGAGAGCCAGAUUUUCAGAUGUAAAACAGGAAAGACUUAGGUCUCUCAAUUCACAAAAGUCUUAGCAAGUUGCCUAGACACCUAAACUGCAGGAUUUCUGUCUCCUAAGUUAGCUAGCAAAAGCUCAGUUAUCUCCCCAAAUUACCUGGUUGCCUUUCAGGAGUGAUUUGAUUUCAUCAGUCCAGGUGGUCAUGUCUCCACGACGCCUGAUGGGCCACAUUUUGGAUAGCUGGGCUUGCAUUUGAAUAUGUUAUCUCAGCUUGGUGUACAGACUUUCACUGUGACUGCUCCAACCCGCUUGUCUUUCCCCACCACUACUUUUUCUGUUUCUGGCCAACAUCUUGCUUUUUCAGCAUUACAGUUGCUUUUGCAAAAUGAUAUUGUACAUACAGUGCCUCUCUUUCUUCUUCUAACUCCAGUGUAAUACAAGGCAUGGGAAGCAAUAGUUUCACCGAGCAGAGAUAACAAGGACUGGACAGUUUUAGGUGAAAACUAAAGCAAUGCUCACAGUCUUCCAAAGUGUUGGUCAAUCACUUCGUUGUCUGACAGCUGAUGGGAAGAAGUUGAUCCACGCUCCUAGCACAGCCCAACAGUGGGCAGAAGAACUUCUUGUCAAGUGAAAUGGUUACCACCUAGGGGAAAGGAAGGACCCUGGAACUCAUCAGAUCCCAACACUGAGACCACCUCAUGGCUCUGGGUUAGCUGUACUAUAAGACCAGAGAUUUUUUUUUAAGGGCUAUAUGGUACUGAAUCACAACUGUACCACAUCUAACAGAGGAGCCCUUAGCAGCAGACCAGGAGGAACAGCCCAUUUAUGCCUCGGCUCAAGUGGACAUCUAUCAUCCAACAUUUACCAUCUGAUACCUGCCCAGGAAAAUUCCAAGCAAUGGUUAUCUCUGGAUUCCCUUUCUCAGAAGACAAAAUAAUUUUCCAGAGAAUUUCCUUUGCUACUUGUUUCUUCACAGGCUUCCCUCCCACAACAGGAUGAUGCUGAAUUUGAUCUCCAAAAGCCUUUAGAUCUACACUGUUUUCUUCCUACUGCAAAUGGACUCCAAACAAGAUGCCUUUGCUCUUUGACAAACCAUUUCUCCUCAGAUACUUCAUCAACCAUAGCUCCAGAGGCAGAGAGUGCCACUUUCCUGGCCAAGGCAUGACGUGCCAUCUUAGUGCUGCAACCCCUGCUAUUUUCUCCUGAACACAUCUCUUGUGGCUGAUGUUGUGCAAUCUGCAUAUCCCAACCCAGCAAACGGCAUGAAGACCAGGUCAAGUAAACAUGUUGCCAGACUGCAUCCUGGCACCACCACAGGAGUGUGGAGCAGGUUCUGGGAACCAAGAGUAGAACAGCUUAGGUGAGUUGUGGGGCCACAGGUGGGAUGACAUCUCACAGCUUGGCUCUGGAACGGGGUGCUUCUUAUGGCCUCCUUCACAGCUGGUGCUGCUGUCACCACAGCUGUUGCUGGGAUGAUGGCAAAUUCAAGGAUGGCGAGGCCCACCUCAACAGCGGCUCAUUCCACCAUGUCCAGGCAGUCUGGAAGAGAGGGACUGUGGACCAAGAGAGUGUUAGUGCAGGAGAAACAGGCUUGGACACAGCAAGAGAUGACCAGCAGCAGAUGGUGGACAAGGCCCACAGCACAGAAGUAUACUGAUCUGCCUGUCACUGUGUACGAGUGAUGAAGAACCAUCUCCUUACACUUCUUUAGCGCUCCAACUUCAUUCUCAAGGGGUUGGCAGGUGGAUGUAACACUUGUUUCUGACUUUGUUCCCUCCUCUAUUUCAGUAAUAAAGUCCCUAAUGUUACAGUUU